Molecule: ribosomal RNA, 986 nt
Filed under: uncultured organism
Description: bacterial SSU rRNA
Rfam family: Bacterial small subunit ribosomal RNA
Source: RNAcentral
UUAGCUAGUUGGUGAGGUAACGGCCCACCAAGGCAACGAUGGGUAGCCGGCCUGAGAGGGUGUCCGGCCACACUGGCACUGAGACAAGGGCCAGUCCCCUAUGGGAGGCGCAGGCGGGAAUAGUUCCCAAUGGACGAAAGUCUGAGGACGCGACGCCGCGUGAGCGAAGAAGGCCUUCGGGUUGUAAAGCUCUGUCAGGAGGGAAGAAGGCGCUGGGUGUUAAUAGCACCAAGCGUUGACGGUACUUCCAGAGGAAGCCCCGGCUAAAUACGUGCCAGCAGCCGCGGUAAUACGUAUGGGGCAAGCGUUGUCCGGAUUAACUGGGCGUAAAGGGCACGCAGGCGGGUCGUUUAGUCGAAGGUGAAAUCCCUGGGCUCAACCUCAGGAACUGCCUUCGAUACUGGCGAACUAGAGUGGCGUUAGAGGAAACGCCGGGACUCCUGGUGUAACCGGUGGAAAGUGUAGAUAUCAGGGGUACACCGUGCAGAAAGCGGCUUUUCUGGAACGCAACACUUGACGCUAAGGUGCCGAAUAGCCGUUGGGUUAACCAAACAAGGAUUUAGAAUACCCCCUGUUUAGUCCACGCCCGUAUACGAUGGAAUAUUAGCUCUCGGGGGUUAUCGAUCCCCUCGCUGCCGUCUUCAACGCAUUAAGUCCCCCGCCUGGGGAGUUAUUGCUCACACGGCUGACUACUCAGAGGUAUUGGCGUGGUCCCAGACACAAGCGGUGGAGCAUGUGGUAUUAUUCCGACGCAACGCGAAGAUCCUUACCUGGGCUUAACAUGCUUGGGACAGCUGCUGGAAACAGCGUCUCUCCUGCGGGACCCCUUACACAGGUGCUAUAUGGCUGUCGUACAGCUCGUGUCGUGAGAUGUCGGUUUAAGUCCCUCAACGAGCGCAACCCUCGUUACUAGUUGCCAUCAGUUCGGCUGGGCACUCUAGUGAGACUCCCGGUGACAAACCGGAGGAAGAUGAGGAUGAUGUCAA